Molecule: microRNA precursor, 200 nt
Filed under: Oryza sativa Indica Group (long-grained rice)
Lineage: Eukaryota; Viridiplantae; Streptophyta; Magnoliopsida; Poales; Poaceae
Description: MIR812 microRNA precursor family
Rfam family: MIR812 microRNA precursor family
Source: Rfam by way of RNAcentral
AAAAAGACAAACUCUGGUUUCCGUGCCCAACGUUUAACCGUCCGUCUUAUUUAAAAAAAUUUUAAAAAAAUUAAAAAGACAAGUCAUGCAUAAAAUAUUAAUCAUGUUUUAUCAUCUAAUAACAAUAAAAAUAUUAUUUAAAAAAUUCAAAUAAGACGGAUGAUCAAAGUUGAACACGAAAACUUAUGGUUACACUUAAA